ACGGCUGAGUAACGCGUAGGGAUCUGCCCACCGGUGGGGAAUAACGGCCCGAAAGGGUCGCUAAUACCGCAUACGACCACCUUUCGGGGUGAGGAAAGCCGUAAGGCGCCGGUGGAGGAACCUGCGUCCGAUUAGCUAGUUGGUGGGGUAACGGCCUACCAAGGCGACGAUCGGUAGCUGGUCUGAGAGGAUGACCAGCCAGACUGGGACUGGGACACGGCCCAGACUCCUACGGGAGGCAGCAGUUAGGAAUUUUGGGCAAUGGCCGCAAGGCUGACCCAGCAACGCCGCGUGGGGGACGAAGGCCUUCGGGUUGUAAACCCCUUUUCCCAGGGACGAUGAUGACGGUACCUGGGGAAUAAGCCCCGGCUAACUACGUGCCAGCAGCCGCGGUAAUACGUAGGGGGCGAGCGUUGUCCGGAUUCAUUGGGCGUAAAGCGCGCGUAGGCGGCUUCGCAAGUCGGCCGUGAAAUCUCCGGGCUCAACUCGGAGGGGUCGGGCGAGACUGCGAGGCUCGAGGUGGGCAGAGGGCAGUGGAAUUCCGGGUGUAGUGGUGGAAUGCGUAGA
This 567-nucleotide ribosomal RNA is filed under the name uncultured bacterium. RNAcentral's name for it is "bacterial SSU rRNA". It matches the Rfam family "Bacterial small subunit ribosomal RNA", at positions 102 to 694 of the family's 1533-position model. The record is from RNAcentral.